Molecule: ribosomal RNA, 468 nt
Filed under: uncultured bacterium
Lineage: Bacteria
Description: partial 16S ribosomal RNA
Rfam family: Bacterial small subunit ribosomal RNA
Source: RNAcentral
GACGAACGCUGGCGGCGUGCUUAACACAUGCAAGUCGAACGGAAAGGCCCUGCUUUUGUGGGGUGCUCGAGUGGCGAACGGGUGAGUAACACGUGAGUAACCUGCCCUUGACUUUGGGAUAACUUCAGGAAACUGGGGCUAAUACCGGAUAGGAGCUCCUGCUGCAUGGUGGGGGUUGGAAAGUUUCGGCGGUUGGGGAUGGAUUCGCGGCUUAUCAGCUUGUUGGUGGGGUAGUGGCUUACCAAGGCUUUGACGGGUAGCCGGCCUGAGAGGGUGACCGGCGACAUUGGGACUGAGAUACGGCCCAGACUCCUACGGGAGGCAGCAGUGGGGAAUAUUGCACAAUGGGCGGAAGCCUGAUGCAGCAACGCCGCGUGCGGGAUGACGGCCUUCGGGUUGUAAACCGCUUUCGCCUGUGACGAAGCGUGAGUGACGGUAAUGGGUAAAGAAGCACCGGCUAACUACGUG